AGUUCCUAACACAGACCUGGUCGCUGUGCAGGCAAAAGUAACGAUGGAGCGGACUUCGUCCUGGCAGCUGCCUACUUUCCUGGAAACACGCUGACAGCACCCCAGAGGCCGUCGGGAACCUCGUGGAUUACUGCAGGAGGAACAACCUGCCCUCGUCAUGGGAUGUGACGCCAACGCCCAUCAUACUGAAUGGGGCAGCACAGACUGCAAUACACGGGAAAUGUCUAAGAAAAACAGAAAAAUAUUCAACUCUAAUAAGCCACAACUGAAAGAAAAGUUGUCAAAGCGAUUAUCUUUAAAGGCGCCUCAAUCCCCGAGCGGAGAUGAACGCUGAUGACCGCCACCAAUGGCGCAAUUGACUUCAAUUAAAAGUGACUCAACACCUCAGCAUGCUGUUGGCCACGGCUUCUUACUGAGUUGUAUGAUGACGGCAAAGGAUCUGCACACCCCGAUACCCAACUGCAUACACAGCUUUGCUUUGCUUUUUGGCUGCUUUCACUUCUUCGUAGACGGCUUGACAACUGGCUUCUGGUUAGUAUAUCGUUGUUGCUGUUCGCCAGAGUAGCCAUGAAGCACUUAAAGUUGGAACGAUAAUGAGUCAGAUUGGUCGUGCUUCUGAAGCUGCAAAGGCUCUAUACAUAUAUAUAUAUAUUAUACAAAUGUAACUCGGAGAAUGAUAGUACAGGAAUAAUACACAGGGUGACUGUCAAUAUAAGAAAAUAAAUAUAAAUAAAAUAUACUAACUGCUUAGACGACGUGGGGUCCUGUCCGGGCGCUGCAAUUUGGUGUAGGUAAUGUUCGCAUUUAAAAGAAAUCCUCGCGUAAUCUUAGCAAUGCUUAUGCGGAUGCGGAAGUCCAAUUAGAUGAGGUAGCUUUCAGAUUGGGUGAAGAAAACUGAAAAGAAACAGAGUAGCGAAGACAGAGCAGUUGCGGGCAAAUCGACGGCUGAUAAGCCGUUUAGAGUCAGACAAAGUUGCUGUGUUUGAUUGUGGGCGGGAGAGUUAGAGCGAGUGUUAAUUGCGCUUCUCACAACGGGAAUUGACUUCAGACACUGCUGUCGGCAGAAAGAAAGUAAAACGAUCUGCGAAUAAAGCCUGUUGCUUUUCAAAUUCUGCCAUUGACAGUCAAGGCAUUGUUGUGAAGUGUAAAGUGUAGACGCAUAUGAGGCAUCUGCUAAUGACGUAAUGAAGCUUGAGUAUCGAAUCGGCGUCAAUUGCAGAGCAAUUGAUUGGUAUUUCCUGCGGGCCUGCCAUUGACUUGACUUUGUCGCUAAUAAGAUUUUAGUGAAUACCUCUACUGCGAUGCGCUCUUCACCCAGUAACUCAUUAAUGUUUUACCUUUUCAAUAAUAGUUUUCAAUUAGUGUUACAUACAUCUUGUACAUACAUAUACAUAAAAUUUUACUUCAAAUAUAUUAUAUAUAUAAUAUGUGUAUUUACAUAUAUAGGGAUAUAUCACCAUCCUACUUUAGCCACGUCAACUAAAAGCCUACCAAGGCGACCGCUCUAAUUAUUUUCUGGUUUUCGAAAGAUAACGUUGCUUUUAUAUUCUUACUUUCUCCGCUUUUUCGUCAUUAUCUAUCUAUAUAUAUAAAGCAGGAUGUGUAUAUUAUGAAAUCGAUAGACUCAGAAACUAUUUUUGCAUAUGUAUUUUGUCACGGAGAAAGUUUUAAUGCUAUCCCCAUUGACGUAACUCGCCACCAGGUGGCCCGACAAUGUAUCGACCUCUGUAUCGUUUAACCGAUUGUUACGAAAAUUAGUCUGUACAUGUAUUUUAUCAUGAAGAAGACGAUUAUGCUAUCCACAUUGAUAAUUAUGUCAUUUAAUUAAGCAUAUUGGAGUAUAAUGAUGAAACAAUAUGACCAUGUAAUUUAACUAAAAUUAUCGCGAAGAGUGAGCCAUUACUAACAGAUGAACAAAAUACUAUUUAUAAUCGGAUUAGGCUAAUUGCCAGAUAAUUUCAGCACUAUUGUACACGGAAAAAAAAUUAAUUGGCAGUAUUUUCCCAAAAAAACAAAAUAAUUACUUAAAUCAAAACUGGCUCUAUAAUCGGACUAUAUUGAUAGCAAAAAAUGCCGAAAUUAAUUUCGAUAAUAAUAUUUUUACUAUAUUAAACAGCUUACUCAAAUAUACAAUAAUUUAAUUAUAUCUUAGCCACAGCAAGCCGAGGCCAGGGUCUUCUAUUGUAGUAUACAUAUCAAAUUGUCUUUGAAUAAAAAUUGUGAUUUUGAAA
Non-coding RNA from Bactrocera oleae (olive fruit fly), 2231 nucleotides. Lineage: Eukaryota; Metazoa; Arthropoda; Insecta; Diptera; Tephritidae. The record is from RefSeq and is a predicted model, not a curated record.